AUUGAACGCUGGCGGCAGGCCUAACACAUGCAAGUCGAGCGGAUGAAGGGAGCUUGCUCCUGGAUUCAGCGGCGGACGGGUGAGUAAUGCCUAGGAAUCUGCCUGGCAGUGGGGGAUAACGUCCGGAAACGGGCGCUAAUACCGCAUACGUCCUGAGGGAGAAAGUGGGGGAUCUUCGGACCUCACGCUAUCAGAUGAGCCUAGGUCGGAUUAGCUAGUUGGUGGGGUAAAGGCCUACCAAGGCGACGAUCCGUAACUGGUCUGAGAGGAUGAUCAGUCACACUGGAACUGAGACACGGUCCAGACUCCUACGGGAGGCAGCAGUGGGGAAUAUUGGACAAUGGGCGAAAGCCUGAUCCAGCCAUGCCGCGUGUGCGAAGAAGGUCUUCGGAUUGUAAAGCACUUUAAGUUGGGAGGAAGGGCAGUAAGUUAAUACCUUGCUGUUUUGACGUUACCAACAGAAUAAGCACCGGCUAACUUCGUG
Molecule: ribosomal RNA, 484 nt
Filed under: uncultured bacterium
Lineage: Bacteria
Description: partial 16S ribosomal RNA
Rfam family: Bacterial small subunit ribosomal RNA
Source: RNAcentral